CACUACGCAAAUACACUGCAUUAUAUACACACACUAUGCAAACACACUGCAUUAUAUACACACACUACACACACAAACACUGCAUUAUAUAAACACUACACAAACACACACACUGCAUUAUAUACACACACUGCACAAAUACACACUGCACAAACACACACUGCACAAACACACACUGCACAAACACACACUGAAUUAUUAUAUAACACACUACACAAAUACACUGCAUUAUAUACACACACUACACAAACACACACUGCAUUAUAUACACAGUGUGUUUGUAUAGUGUGUGUAUAUAAUGCAGUUUGUGUGUAUGUAUAUAAUGCAGUUUGUGUGUGUGUUUGUAUAGUGUGUGUAUAUAAUGCAGUUUGUGUGUGUAUAUAAUGCAGUUUGUGUGUGUGUUUGUAUAGUGUGUGUAUAUAAUGCAGUGUAUUUGUGUGCAUUGUAUACAAACACACACUAUACAAACACACACUGCAUUAUAUACACAGUGUGUUUGUGUAGUGUCUGUGUAUAUAAUGGAGUGUGUGAGGGGG
Non-coding RNA from Pelobates cultripes (western spadefoot toad), 536 nucleotides. Lineage: Eukaryota; Metazoa; Chordata; Amphibia; Anura; Pelobatidae. The record is from the annotation of a GenBank genome assembly.